RNAcentral lists this transfer RNA (70 nucleotides) under Ictidomys tridecemlineatus (thirteen-lined ground squirrel). RNAcentral's name for it is "Spermophilus tridecemlineatus (thirteen-lined ground squirrel) tRNA". It matches the Rfam family "tRNA". Rfam says of the family: Transfer RNA (tRNA) molecules are approximately 80 nucleotides in length. Their secondary structure includes four short double-helical elements and three loops (D, anti-codon, and T loops). Lineage: Eukaryota; Metazoa; Chordata; Mammalia; Rodentia; Sciuridae. The record is from Rfam by way of RNAcentral.
GGGGAUAUAGCUCAGUUGGUAGAGUGCUUGCCUUGCAUGCACGGGGUUCUGGGUUCAAUCCCCAGCACCA